RNAcentral lists this ribosomal RNA (807 nucleotides) under uncultured Actinomycetes bacterium. RNAcentral's name for it is "bacterial SSU rRNA". It matches the Rfam family "Bacterial small subunit ribosomal RNA", at positions 72 to 866 of the family's 1533-position model. The record is from RNAcentral. Lineage: Bacteria; Bacillati; Actinomycetota; Actinomycetes.
CCAGUCCUUCGGGACUGGGGAAAGCGGCGAACGGGUGAGUAACACGUGGGUAAUCUGCCCUCGGCACUGGGAUAGCCCGGGGAAACCCGGAUUAAUACCGGAUAGCCUUUCGAGCCUUCGGGCUCGUCAGAAAAGGUGGCUUCGGCUUCCGGCUGAGGAUGAGCCCGCGGCGGAUAAGCUUGUUGGUGAGGUAAUGGCUCACCAAGGCUCCGAUCUGUAGCUGGUCUGAGAGGACGAUCAGCCACACUGGGACUGAGACACGGCCCAGACUCCUACGGGAGGCAGCAGUAGGGAAUCUUGCGCAAUGGGCGAAAGCCUGACGCAGCGACGCCGCGUGCGGGAAGAAGGCCUUCGGGUUGUAAACCGCUUUCAGGAGGGACGAAGCCACUCGGGUUAAUAGCCCAGAGGGUGACGGUACCUCCAGAAGAAGCCCCGGCUAACUACGUGCCAGCAGCCGCGGUAAUACGUAGGGGGCAAGCGUUGUCCGGAUUUAUUGGGCGUAAAGAGCGUGUAGGCGGCCAGAUAGGUCAGCUGUGAAAACUCGAGGCUCAACCUCGAGAUGUCGGCUGAAACCAUCUGGCUAGAGUCCGGAAGAGGAGAAUGGAAUUCCCGGUGUAGCGGUGAAAUGCGCAGAUAUCGGGAAGAACACCCGUGGCGAAGGCGGUUCUCUGGGACGGUACUGACGCUGAGACGCGAAAGCGUGGGGAGCGAACAGGAUUAGAUACCCUGGUAGUCCACGCCGUAAACGAUGGGAACUAGGUGUGGGCGGUGUCGACUCCGUCCGUGCCGAAGCUAACGCAUUAAGUU